CGCAAAUUACCCACUCUCAAUUCGAGGAGGUAGUGACAACAACUAACGAGACUGCUCCCUUAUGGGAACAGUCAUCGAAAUGGGUACAAUUUAAACCCUUUAACGAGGAUCAAUGAGAGGGCAAGUCUGGUGCCAGCAGCCGCGGUAAUUCCAGCUCUCAAAGUGUAUGUCAUUAUUGCUGCGGUUAAAAAGCUCGUAGUUGGAUCUGAGCCUUUGGAUACGGUUCACCUCUGGUGAUACUGGCUCCGGGGUUAAUUUCGUCGGUUCUCCGGCGAGAGUUACUCUGAAUAAAUCAGAGUGCUCAAAACAAGCGUUUCGCUUGAAUGUUUUUGCAUGGAAUAAUGGAAAAGGACUUCGGUUCCUUACUGUUGGUUUCGGAAUUGGAUUAAUGAUUAAGAGGGACCAACGGGGGCAUGCGUACCGCUACGCGAGAGGUGAAAUUCAUGGACCGUAGCGUGACGAACUAAAGCGAAAGCAUUUGCCAAGAAUGUCUUCAUUAAUCAAGAACGAAAGUCAGAGGUUCGAAGGCGAUUAGAUACCGCCGUAGUUCUGACCGUAAACGAUACCAUCUAGCGAUCCGGUGGUGGUUUUACCGCCUUGCCGGGGAGCUUCCCGGAAACGAAAGACUUCCGGUUCCGGGGGUAGUAUGGUUGCAAAGCUGAAACUUAAAGGAAUUGACGGAAGAGCACCACCAGGAGUGGAGCCUGCGGCUUAAUUUGACUA
Molecule: ribosomal RNA, 723 nt
Filed under: Mesorhabditis sp. FL-Type-10
Lineage: Eukaryota; Metazoa; Nematoda; Chromadorea; Rhabditida; Rhabditidae
Description: SSU rRNA
Rfam family: Eukaryotic small subunit ribosomal RNA
Source: RNAcentral